Molecule: ribosomal RNA, 499 nt
Filed under: Pediococcus pentosaceus
Lineage: Bacteria; Bacillati; Bacillota; Bacilli; Lactobacillales; Lactobacillaceae
Description: bacterial SSU rRNA
Rfam family: Bacterial small subunit ribosomal RNA
Source: RNAcentral
GUACUUGUACUGAUUGAGAUUUUAACACGAAGUGAGUGGCGAACGGGUGAGUAACACGUGGGUAACCUGCCCAGAAGUAGGGGAUAACACCUGGAAACAGAUGCUAAUACCGUAUAACAGAGAAAACCGCAUGGUUUUCUUUUAAAAGAUGGCUCUGCUAUCACUUCUGGAUGGACCCGCGGCGUAUUAGCUAGUUGGUGAGGUAAAGGCUCACCAAGGCAGUGAUACGUAGCCGACCUGAGAGGGUAAUCGGCCACAUUGGGACUGAGACACGGCCCAGACUCCUACGGGAGGCAGCAGUAGGGAAUCUUCCACAAUGGACGCAAGUCUGAUGGAGCAACGCCGCGUGAGUGAAGAAGGGUUUCGGCUCGUAAAGCUCUGUUGUUAAAGAAGAACGUGGGUAAGAGUAACUGUUUACCCAGUGACGGUAUUUAACCAGAAAGCCACGGCUAACUACGUGCCAGCAGCCGCGGUAAUACGUAGGUGGCAAGCGUUAUCC